This 1119-nucleotide ribosomal RNA is filed under the name uncultured bacterium. RNAcentral describes it as "bacterial SSU rRNA". It matches the Rfam family "Bacterial small subunit ribosomal RNA", at positions 353 to 1482 of the family's 1533-position model. The record is from RNAcentral.
AGUAAGGAAUAUUGGUCAAUGGGCGCAAGCCUGAACCAGCCAUGCCGCGUGCAGGAAGACGGCCCUAUGGGUUGUAAACUGCUUUUAUCAGGGAAUAAACCUUUGUACGUGUACAGAGCUGAAGGUACCUGAAGAAUAAGCAUCGGCUAACUCCGUGCCAGCAGCCGCGGUAAUACGGAGGAUGCAAGCGUUAUCCGGAUUCAUUGGGUUUAAAGGGUGCGCAGGCGGAUUGGUAAGUCAGGGGUGAAAUCCCACAGCUCAACUGUGGAACUGCCUUUGAUACUGUCAGUCUAGAGUAUAGUUGAAGUGGGCGGAAUGUGUCAUGUAGCGGUGAAAUGCUUAGAUAUGACACAGAACACCGAUCGCGAAGGCAGCUCGCUAAGCUAUAACUGACGCUCAUGCACGAAAGCGUGGGGAUCAAACAGGAUUAGAUACCCUGGUAGUCCACGCCGUAAACGAUGAUUACUCGAUGUUGGCGAUACACAGUCAGCGUCUGAGCGAAAGCAAUAAGUAAUCCACCUGGGGAGUACGAUCGCAAGAUUGAAACUCAAAGGAAUUGACGGGGGCCCGCACAAGCGGAGGAGCAUGUGGUUUAAUUCGAUGAUACGCGAGGAACCUUACCUGGGCUCGAACGUAAGAUGACUGUAGGUGAAAGCUUACAUCCCUUCGGGGCAUUUUACGAGGUGCUGCAUGGUUGUCGUCAGCUCGUGCCGUGAGGUGUCGGGUUAAGUCCCAUAACGAGCGCAACCCCUAUCUUUAGUUGCCAUCAGGUAAUGCUGGGGACUCUAAAGAAACUGCCUACGCAAGUAGUGAGGAAGGCGGGGAUGACGUCAAAUCAGCACGGCCCUUACGUCCAGGGCUACACACGUGCUACAAUGGCCGAUACAGAGGGCAGCUACCAGGCGACUGGAUGCAAAUCUCCAAAGUCGGUCUCAGUUCGGAUCGGAGUCUGCAACCCGACUCCGUGAAGUUGGAUUCGCUAGUAAUCGCAUAUCAGCCAUGAUGCGGUGAAUACGUUCCCGGGCCUUGUACACACCGCCCGUCAAGCCAUGGAAGUUGGGGGGACCUAAAGUCGAUAACCGCAAGGAGUCGCCUAGGGUAAAACCAAUGACUGGGGCU